AGAACGAACGCCGGCGGCAUGCCUAAUACAUGCAAGUCGAACGAACUCUUCGGAGUUAGUGGCGCGCGGGUGCGUAACGCGUGGGAAUCUGCCCCUUGGUUCGGAAUAACAGUUGGAAACGACUGCUAAUACCGGAUGAUGACGAAAGUCCAAAGAUUUAUCGCCAAGGGAUGAGCCCGCGUAGGAUUAGCUAGUUGGUGAGGUAAAGGCUCACCAAGGCGACGAUCCUUAGCUGGUCUGAGAGGAUGAUCAGCCACACUGGGACUGAGACACGGCCCAGACUCCUACGGGAGGCAGCAGUA
RNAcentral lists this ribosomal RNA (302 nucleotides) under uncultured soil bacterium. RNAcentral's name for it is "bacterial SSU rRNA". It matches the Rfam family "Bacterial small subunit ribosomal RNA", at positions 26 to 356 of the family's 1533-position model. The record is from RNAcentral.